Molecule: ribosomal RNA, 496 nt
Filed under: uncultured bacterium
Lineage: Bacteria
Description: partial 16S ribosomal RNA
Rfam family: Bacterial small subunit ribosomal RNA
Source: RNAcentral
AUUGAACGCUGGCGGCAUGCUUUACACAUGCAAGUCGAACGGUAGAGGGGGCAACCCCUUGAGAGUGGCGAACGGGUGAGUAAUGCAUCGGAACGUGCCCAGUCGUGGGGGAUAACGCAGCGAAAGCUGCGCUAAUACCGCAUACGAUCUGAGGAUGAAAGCGGGGGAGCGUAAGGCCGCGCGCGAUCGGAGCGGCCGAUGUCAGAUUAGGUAGUUGGUCGGGUAAAGGCUCACCAAGCCAACGAACUUUAGCUGGUCUGAGAGGACGACCAGCCACACUGGGACUGAGACACGGCCCAGACUCCUACGGGAGGCAGCAGUGGGGAAUUUUGGACAAUGGGCGAAAGCCUGAUCCAGCAAUGCCGCGUGCAGGAAGAAGGCCUUCGGGUUGUAAACUGCUUUUGUACGGAGCGAAAAGGUCUCCUCUAAUACAGGGGGCUCAUGACGGUACCGUAAGAAUAAGCGCCGGCUAACUACGUGCCAGCCGCCGCCGUAA